Molecule: ribosomal RNA, 155 nt
Filed under: Phyllosticta sp. TACP00K3033
Lineage: Eukaryota; Fungi; Ascomycota; Dothideomycetes; Botryosphaeriales; Phyllostictaceae
Description: 5.8S rRNA
Rfam family: 5.8S ribosomal RNA
About the family: 5.8S ribosomal RNA (5.8S rRNA) is a component of the large subunit of the eukaryotic ribosome.
Source: RNAcentral
AAACUUUCAACAACGGAUCUCUUGGUUCUGGCAUCGAUGAAGAACGCAGCGAAAUGCGAUAAGUAAUGUGAAUUGCAGAUUUCAGUGAAUCAUCGAAUCUUUGAACGCACAUUGCGCCCUCUGGUAUUCCGGAGGGCAUGCCUGUUCAAGCGUCA